AACGAACGCUGGCGGCAUGCCUAACACAUGCAAGUCGAACGAGACCUUCGGGUCUAGUGGCGCACGGGUGCGUAACGCGGGGGAACCUGCCCGUAGGUUCGGAAUAACUCACCGAAAGGGGUGCUAAUACCGGAUAAUGUCUUCGGACCAAAGAUUUAUCGCCUUUGGAUGGGCCCGCGUUGGAUUAGCUAGUUGGUAGGGUAAAAGCCUCCCAAGGCGACGAUCCAUAGCUGGGCGGAGAGGAUGAUCAGCCACCCUGGGACUGAGACCCGGCCCAGACUCCUACGGGAGGCAGCAGUGGGGAACAUUGGACAAUGGGCGAAAGCCUGAUCCUGCCAUGCCGCGUGAGUGAUGAAGGCCUUAGGGUUGUAAAGCUCUUUUACCCGGGAUGAUAAUGACAGUACCGGGAGAAUAAGCGCCGGCUAACUCCGUG
This 433-nucleotide ribosomal RNA is filed under the name uncultured bacterium. Its description in RNAcentral is "partial 16S ribosomal RNA". It matches the Rfam family "Bacterial small subunit ribosomal RNA", at positions 29 to 507 of the family's 1533-position model. The record is from RNAcentral.